GAGAGAGAGGAAAAAAGAGGCGCGACUAGUGAAGUUGCUGAUAUUUUUCUCCUCCAAAGACUUGCAACGACUCUCCUCCACAUCUGUUCACCCAAUUCCCGAUCAUGAAGAGGGGAGCCUUAAACCCUAAUAUCAAGCUCAAGCUUUCUCUUCCUCCUCCCGAUGAAGUAUCCUUCGCUAAGUUCCUAACCCAAAGCGGUACCUUUAAGGAUGGUGAUCUGCUAGUCAAUCGAGAUGGAGUUCGAAUUGUCUCGCAAAACGAACCCGAAGCUCCACCCCCUAUUAAACCAUCAGACAACCAGUUGAAUUUGGCAGACAUAGA
Molecule: unclassified non-coding RNA, 322 nt
Filed under: Hevea brasiliensis (rubber tree)
Lineage: Eukaryota; Viridiplantae; Streptophyta; Magnoliopsida; Malpighiales; Euphorbiaceae
Source: RNAcentral